GACGAACGCUGGCGGCGUGCUUAACACAUGCAAGUCGAACGGAAAGGCCCUGCUUUUGUGGGGUGCUCGAGUGGCGAACGGGUGAGUAACACGUGAGUAACCUGCCCUUGACUUUGGGAUAACUUCAGGAAACUGGGGCUAAUACCGGAUAGGAGCUCCUGCUGCAUGGUGGGGGUUGGAAAGUUUCGGCGGUUGGGGAUGGACUCGCGGCUUAUCAGCUUGUUGGUGGGGUAGUGGCUUACCAAGGCUUUGACGGGUAGCCGGGCUGGGAGGGUGACAGGCCACACUGGGACUGAGAUACGGCCCAGACUCCUCCGGGAGGCAGCAGUGGGGAAUAUUGCACAAUGGGCGGAAGCCUGAUGCAGCAACGCCGCGUGCGGGAUGACGGCCUUCGGGUUGUAAACCGCUUUCGCCUGUGACGAAGCGUGAGUGACGGUAAUGGGUAAAGAAGCACCGGCUAACUACGUG
This 468-nucleotide ribosomal RNA is filed under the name uncultured bacterium. Its description in RNAcentral is "partial 16S ribosomal RNA". It matches the Rfam family "Bacterial small subunit ribosomal RNA", at positions 28 to 507 of the family's 1533-position model. The record is from RNAcentral.